AAAGACCUGACUGAGAUCGAACUGCACUCUGUAGACUCCAUCAGUGACCUGCAUCGCGCACACCCUGAACAGCAUGGCAAAGGUUGCCGACCAGCCCGCCCCAAACCUCCCUCUAUCAAUGGGAAACUUCAAUCACUGGACAAACCAGCAAUCUGUCAAUCAGGGCAUCAAAUGAGAAGGUCCCAUCUGAAACAACUCAGCAGCAUGUGCAUUCCCUGUAUGUGGCGCUAUUCUUUGGCAUGUGUGGCUUUAACUCUGAUCCUCCUCACUCUUAUUCUCAUCUUUAGCUUCUUAGUCCAACAGAGCAGAGCUCUACACACUCUCUCUGAAAUGGUGAGCCAACGGCAAGAAACGACAGAGGAAAUCUCCAUCCUUAUUCAGGAGCUCCAGGCUCUUCGUAGAAACCUGACCGCAUUGGGAGACAGACACUGACUGUACUGUUCCAUGAGUCAGCCACUUGCAAAACAAGCCAAUUCACUAAUGGAUAUUUUUAGCUCAUAAGUGUGAUUCUAAGUAUCAAAACAAAAUUUAUGUGAACAUACUUUUUAAUAUGCUGCGAUUUAUUGUAAAACAAUCCUGCUCAUGCAUUGUUAAUGGAAUGACUGUUAGGGUAUACGUUACAGACUGCCAACCAGAAUCUAGAUAAAUAUACAUCUGCUUAUAUGCACCAGGUGCUCUGGGCCACUGGCAACUGGACUUUUGACAAUAGUGGACAAAGGAGUCCAGACUAGCAGAGACCUUUUUGUAACAUUUUAAAUUGCUUGAAAGCUUAAGAAAAAUGACUAAAGAAUUUUUUUUUCCAUGUUUGCAUUAGACUACUGAGGAUAUCAAAGACCAGAGACCAAGCUCAGUCUAUGGUAAAACAAGCAACUAAAGGGAAAAUUUAGCAUGGACAACCACAGACCACUGUUCAGGAAUAUGCAUCAUUAUAUGAGUACAGAUGUGAAGGUAAAAGAGAAAUAAAGAAUUUUAGAACCAAGUUAUAGAGAUGCUUGGGUAAGCCCAACAAUAGUUCAACAAAAUUUGCUCUUCAACUAAUCUUCAAUAACUUGCAAAAGCACUCACUCUACAUUCACAAAACUACAUAAUCUUCCCUCCUUUGAAAUAAUUGCAAGUAAAUACCGACCCUGGAACAGUGUUUUAUCUUAGAUUCUCUAAAUAUGUGCCAG
Long non-coding RNA from Electrophorus electricus (electric eel), 1169 nucleotides. NCBI's taxonomy places the organism in Eukaryota, Metazoa, Chordata, Actinopteri, Gymnotiformes, Gymnotidae. The record is from Ensembl.